RNAcentral lists this ribosomal RNA (468 nucleotides) under uncultured bacterium. RNAcentral describes it as "partial 16S ribosomal RNA". It matches the Rfam family "Bacterial small subunit ribosomal RNA", at positions 28 to 507 of the family's 1533-position model. The record is from RNAcentral.
GACGAACGCUGGCGGCGUGCUUAACACAUGCAAGUCGAACGGAAAGGCCCUGCUUUUGUGGGGUGCUCGAGUGGCGAACGGGUGAGUAACACGUGAGUAACCUGCCCUUGACUUUGGGAUAACUUCAGGAAACUGGGGCUAAUACCGGAUAGGAGCUCCUGCUGCAUGGUGGGGGUUGGAAAGUUUCGGCGGUUGGGGAUGGACUCGCGGCUUAUCAUCUUGUUGGUGGGGUAGUGGCUUACCAAGGCUCUGACGGGUAGCCGGCCUGAGAGGGUGACCGGCCACAUUGGGACUGAGAUACGGCCCAGACUCCUACGGGAGGAAGCAGUGGGGAAUAUUGCACAAUGGGCGGAAGCCUGAUGCAGCAACGCCGCGUGCGGGAUGACGGCCUUCGGGUUGUAAACCGCUUUCGCCUGUGACGAAGCGUGAGUGACGGUAAUGGGUAAAGAAGCACCGGCUAACUACGUG